Molecule: non-coding RNA, 73 nt
Organism: Potamilus streckersoni
Lineage: Eukaryota; Metazoa; Mollusca; Bivalvia; Unionida; Unionidae
Source: the annotation of a GenBank genome assembly
GCUCGGGUGGCCCAAGUGGUUAGGGCGCCCGCUUCGGAUUUGGGAGGUCAUGGAUUCGAACUGCGGCCGAGCC